Molecule: ribosomal RNA, 468 nt
Filed under: uncultured bacterium
Lineage: Bacteria
Description: partial 16S ribosomal RNA
Rfam family: Bacterial small subunit ribosomal RNA
Source: RNAcentral
GACGAACGCUGGCGGCGUGCUUAACACAUGCAAGUCGAACGGAAAGGCCCUGCUUUUGUGGGGUGCUCGAGUGGCGAACGGGUGAGUAACACGUGAGUAACCUGCCCUUGACUUUGGGAUAACUUCAGGAAACUGGGGCUAAUACCGGAUAGGAGCUCCUGCUGCAUGGUGGGGGUUGGAAAGUUUCGGCGGGUGGGGAUGGACUCGCGGCUUAUCAGCUUGUUGGUGGGGUGGUGGCUGACCAAGGCUUUGACGGGUAGCCCGCCUGAGAGGGUGACCGGCCACAUUGGGACUGAGAUACGGACCAGACUCCUACGGGAGGCAGCAGUGGGGAAUAUUGCACAAUGGGCGGAAGCCUGAUGCAGCAACGCCGCGUGCGUGAUGCCGGCCUUCGGGUUGUAAACCGCUUUCGCCUGUGACGACGCGUGAGUGACGGUAAUGGGUAAAGAAGCACCGGCUAACUACGUG